Molecule: ribosomal RNA, 497 nt
Filed under: uncultured bacterium
Lineage: Bacteria
Description: partial 16S ribosomal RNA
Rfam family: Bacterial small subunit ribosomal RNA
Source: RNAcentral
GAUGAACGCUGGCGGCGUGCCUAAUACAUGCAAGUCGAGCGAACAGACGAGGAGCUUGCUCCUCUGACGUUAGCGGCGGACGGGUGAGUAACACGUGGAUAACCUACCUAUAAGACUGGGAUAACUUCGGGAAACCGGAGCUAAUACCGGAUAAUAUAUUGAACCGCAUGGUUCAAUAGUGAAAGACGGUUUUGCUGUCACUUAUAGAUGGAUCCGCGCCGCAUUAGCUAGUUGGUAAGGUAACGGCUUACCAAGGCAACGAUGCGUAGCCGACCUGAGAGGGUGAUCGGCCACACUGGAACUGGGACACGGUCCAGACUCCUACGGGAGGCAGCAGUAGCGAAUCUUCCGCAGUGGGCGAAAGCCUGACGGAGCAACGCCGCGUGAGUGAUGAAGGUCUUCGGAUCGUAAAACUCUGUUAUUAGGGAAGAACAAAUGUGUAAGUAACUAUGCACGUCUUGACGGUACCUAAUCAGAAAGCCACGGCUAACUACGUG